UCUCUAUGAUGCUUCAGUAGAUCCUGCCGACCCUUUACUUUGUACUCAAAGGGAAGUGAGGAAAGAGAACUACUGAGAGA
Protopterus annectens (West African lungfish) is the source of this 80-nucleotide small nucleolar RNA. The record is from RefSeq and is a predicted model, not a curated record. Lineage: Eukaryota; Metazoa; Chordata; Ceratodontiformes; Protopteridae.